Molecule: long non-coding RNA, 968 nt
Filed under: Brachypodium distachyon (stiff brome)
Lineage: Eukaryota; Viridiplantae; Streptophyta; Magnoliopsida; Poales; Poaceae
Description: long non-coding RNA (BDIS_LNC000147)
Source: RNAcentral
GACAUAUUUCUAUUUGAAAUCUUGUGUUUUGAACUUUGAAUUAUUCUAAAAUGCCAAGAAUUUAUACAAAUACUUGUAAUAUGUGGCAAAAAUUACAUUGUCGCUUCUCUUUUGCAGUUAAGUGGGAAAAGGCACAUACUCUUCUCAUUAUGGACGAGCUGCUGAUGCACCUAUACACCGAAGGACCUGAGCAUAAGGAAAGAAGAAAGAAAGGGCUGAAGUGAAGGAAAAAAAGACCAAUUUGCGGAAGAAGAAGAGAAAAGAAGGGCCUGGAUGCAAAAACGAUCCCCUUUGUGCUUGGCACUUCUCCUUCCCCUGACCUCCUUCUCCACCACCGGCCGCCGCCGCGGCCAGGCCAGCGUGGGGGCGCACCUCCGACGAAGUAGCUGCUGCCCCUUCCCGAUCCACUACUACUGCUCCUCCUCGUCUCCAAGCUGCUGCUCCUCCUCGUCCCCUCAAGCUGCUGCAGUAAGUGAAGAACAAGCGCCUCUGGCAAGCACGAGCGCCACUGGAACCCUCUUCCCUUCCUCCACUCCUUGCUGCCCCAUCUCCUGAGUUAAUCCCCAUCUAAAUCUCUCUCCCUUUUCCCCCUGUUGCUUGCUGUUUGUGUGAACUGAAUUGAGAGAACUUGUGCUGAUUUUGAGCACCUGCAACUUGUUUGCUUAAAUGUCAGUGUGAGAUCUUGUUAACUAUUGAGUCUUUUCUCCUGAGAAUUGUGUGUAAUAUGUACUAGUGAUUGUGCUUUAAAUUUCUGUGAUAGUAUACUUGUCUGUGCCCUGUUGUACUCUUUCCCAUACCUAAACAAUUUGCUUCUAUCCUUGUCUUAUUUGUUAGCUCGUGAGAUUACUUGUUGUCCCUGUUAUUUGUCAAUGUAGAUCUGCCCUGUCUUUGAUGUCUGCUUGUGAAGUAAAACAAAAAUACUAAAAAUAUUGCACUAUUUGUUACAAAUUCCAGAAUCAAAUCUUGUG